This 450-nucleotide ribosomal RNA is filed under the name uncultured bacterium. RNAcentral describes it as "partial 16S ribosomal RNA". It matches the Rfam family "Bacterial small subunit ribosomal RNA", at positions 354 to 796 of the family's 1533-position model. The record is from RNAcentral.
GUGGGGAAUCUUCCGCAAUGGACGAAAGUCUGACGGAGCAACGCCGCGUGAGUGAAGAAGGUUUUCGGAUCGUAAAGCUCUUUCGCUAGGGACGAACGUGCUCUUUGUGAAUAAUGAGGAGUAAUGACGGUACCUAAAUAAGAAGCCACGGCUAACUACGUUCCAGCAGCCGCGGUAAUACGUAGGUGGCAAGCGUUGUCCGGAAUUAUUUGGCGUAAAGCGCGCGCAGGCGGGAUAUCAAGUCUGUCUGUAAAGUGCGAGGCUCAACCUCGUGAGGGAACAGAAAAUGGUAUUCUAGAGUGUCGGAGAGGAAAGUGGAAUUCCAAGUGUAGCGGUGAAAUGCGUAGAGAUUUAGAAGAACUCCAGUGGCGAAGGCGACUUUCUGGACGAUGUCUGACGCUGAGGCGCGAAAGCUAGGGGAGCGAACGGGAUUAGAUACCCGAGUAGUCC